This 376-nucleotide unclassified non-coding RNA is filed under the name uncultured bacterium. Its description in RNAcentral is "contains 16S-23S intergenic spacer region". The record is from RNAcentral.
UCCGAGUUGACCCCGGCAGUCUCCCACGAGUCCCCGCCAUUACGCGCUGGCAACAUAGGAUAAGGGUUGCGCUCGUUGCGGGACUUAACCCAACAUCUCACGACACGAGCUGACGACAGCCAUGCAGCAUCUGUGGUGCACCCUCGAAGGUCACACGUUUCCGCGCGCUUGCAGCACCAUGUCAAGUCCAGGUAAGGUUCUUCGCGUUGCAUCGAAUUAAAGAACAUGCUCCGCUGCUUGUGCGGGCCCCCGUCAAUUUCUUUGAGUUUUAACCUUGCGGCCGUACUCCCCAGGCGGAUAACUUAACGCGUUAGCUGCGCCACCAAAGCUCUAAGAGCCAUGACAGCUAGUUAUCAUCGUUUACGGCGUGGACUAC